UACGAAGGGUGCAAGCGUUACUCGGAAUUACUGGGCGUAAAGCGUGCGUAGGUGGUCUGUUAAGUCUGAUGUGAAAGCCCUGGGCUCAACCUGGGAAUUGCAUUGGAUACUGGCAGGCUAGAGUGCGGUAGAGGAUGGCGGAAUUCCCGGUGUAGCAGUGAAAUGCGUAGAGAUCGGGAGGAACAUCUGUGGCGAAGGCGGCCAUCUGGACCAGCACUGACACUAGGGCACGAAAGCGUGGGGAGCAAACAGG
RNAcentral lists this ribosomal RNA (253 nucleotides) under uncultured bacterium. RNAcentral describes it as "partial 16S ribosomal RNA". It matches the Rfam family "Bacterial small subunit ribosomal RNA", at positions 524 to 776 of the family's 1533-position model. The record is from RNAcentral.